AGAAAAACCUCAAGAACUCCGCCAGACAGCCCGAAAAACUUACAACAACCACUAUAGUGAAAUGCUCAAGCAGUUUUCAAGGCUUUGAGAUGGAGGGAGUAGCCCUUGCAACUAGCAGAAUUGUUCAAAAGGAUUCUGUUUGAUUUUUAACAGAAUAAAAAUAAUAAGGCUUUUUAGGGACAUGGUGAAAAUUUGUUUGAAAUUUGUCAGUGUUUUGAUGGUGAUUACGGUAAUUCUUUGCAGAUUAAGUAACAAUACAGCAAGAUAAGUAGUGUAUAGAAUUGGAGUCAGGUUAUAAUCCAGUGGACAAAAUCCUGUUGCACAGUUACACAAAAAUCAUAGCUUUUAGAGACAAAUUACAGUACACUACAUUAAGAAAUCUCCCUAGGUAAUAUAUGUUGUAUCCUAGGUCACAUGACUUGGCAUACAAGAGUUAUUGCCUUCAGAGACUUCUUAAUAGCAGUUCUCCUCUAAGUUGCACCUUUGGGUAACUAUGUGACAGAAUUUUGAUUAUAGUAUUGGGGAGUAAGCCUCGCUGAAUGAGAUGGGACCUAAUUGUAAGUAAAUAAAGGGCUACGCUGUAGGAUUCUUUGUUCCAAAUGAAACCAACAAUCCUACUGUUCAUCUAUUUGCUUAUUUAUAGUUCAUAUUUUUCCUCAUAAGAUACUUCAUAUGCUUUAAUGCAACCCAUGAUCAAAGAAGCAAUGACUAAUUUUCCUUUUGAAAAUAUAAAACCUAGUUCUUUAUCACAGCUGUUUUUGUACUGGCAAAUCAGAGCACAUGAGAGAUGAGCAAUAAAGAAAACAUGGUAAUUGUGAAUGUAGAAGAUAUGCUAUAGAACUCAGAUUGGAUAUUCAUGUUUGUUAUCAUGCAAAGCAAAAGCAAAGCGUGCUGCUGCUUGGUAAACAAUCUGAGGUUAGGAAGCUGCACAAAUUAUCCAGAUAAAUGGGACUGAACCUGUGUGUCUAUGUGAAUUACAAAAAAA
Pogona vitticeps (central bearded dragon) is the source of this 985-nucleotide non-coding RNA. Lineage: Eukaryota; Metazoa; Chordata; Lepidosauria; Squamata; Agamidae. The record is from RefSeq and is a predicted model, not a curated record.